UUAAUUCUUCAUUCAAUUUUGAUCAAAAUCUUAAUAUUUAGUUCUUAGCCGUUGAUCAAAUUAAUCCAACGGCUGAGAUCACAUUUCUCUUUGCUUUUCAUUUUUAGGCUAAUAGAAAAUCCUAGCCUUAUUCCAUUCAACAACAGCCGCAUCUCUCUACUUUCUCUCUCUAUCUCCCCCUCUCUGUCUAAGGCCCGCCUGCCACCGCAACACCGGCUACCGACCGAAAAAACAACGGCAACAUCAACCCUGACAACCACCAUCAUCAUUUCUCACCUCUCUUAACACUUGAAAACGUUUGAGGUUUGAAACCACUGUUGAAGUUGAUUUAGUGAUUUACUUGUAUAUUCUUUUGUUGCGUUCACAACUGCUAGAAGUAGUGCUAUAGAGAUGGCUCGAUCCGCUGAUAAACGAAGCGUGAGAAACAUUGUGGAAGACAGUCGGGGUAACCGCGAUUCAACUAUUUCUGGCUUGCAAGAAAGGUUGUUUCGUACAUUUUCAAGCUUAGGUGCCAAAGAAUCAUUAGGGAAGGUGGUAGAUUCAUCUGAAAUACUGACCAAAAUGUCCUUUCCCAAUCAGUGCAUGGUUCGUCUAAAAUAAGGCAUCAAUGGCUUACUUCAUCCUCGCAAAGGGAUAGCAAGAAUGAGUGGUGGGUUGUUUCAAAGUUUCAAGCUUUACCUUCUCCAUCUGUUUCUACUGCUUCUUU
This is a long non-coding RNA of Capsicum annuum, 706 nucleotides long. RefSeq lists it as uncharacterized. The record is from RefSeq and is a predicted model, not a curated record. Lineage: Eukaryota; Viridiplantae; Streptophyta; Magnoliopsida; Solanales; Solanaceae. The transcript is spliced from 2 exons.